This 301-nucleotide ribosomal RNA is filed under the name uncultured bacterium. RNAcentral describes it as "partial 16S ribosomal RNA". It matches the Rfam family "Bacterial small subunit ribosomal RNA", at positions 509 to 809 of the family's 1533-position model. The record is from RNAcentral.
CAGUCGCCACGGUAAUACGAAGGGGGCUAGCGUUGUUCGGAAUCACUGGGCGUAAAGGGUGCGUAGGCGGAUUCUUAAGUCAGGGGUGAAAUCCCGAGGCUCAACCUCGGAACUGCCUUUGAUACUGGGGAUCUUGAGUCCGGAAGAGGUGAGUGGAACUGCGAGUGUAGAGGUGAAAUUCGUAGAUAUUCGCAAGAACACCGGUGGCGAAGGCGGCUCACUGGUCCGGAACUGACGCUGAGGCACGACAGCGUGGGGAGCAAACAGGAUUAGAUACCCCUGUAGUCCCUGUCUCUUAUAA